AACUCAAUUGCUGGAUCAUAUGAUAAGUGUUUGUUCAGUUAUGUAAGAAACUGCCAAACUGUUCACCAUAGUGGCUGUGUCAUUUUGCAUUGCCACCAGCAU
RNAcentral lists this microRNA precursor (102 nucleotides) under Marmota monax (woodchuck). The record is from RNAcentral. Lineage: Eukaryota; Metazoa; Chordata; Mammalia; Rodentia; Sciuridae.